AUGUCAGUACCUAUGUCUACAGAUCAUACAUCAGUGCUGGUAGAUGGUAACCACAAGCGAUGCCACUACUGUAUCAAGAUUGGUGCCAAGACUAAGAAUGGAUGGGACAUAUUCACCAGAUAUAAAUGCAGGUUGUGUAACAUACCACUUUGUCGUGGAAGUAGGAAGUGUUUUUAUUUGUAUCAUGCAGCUCUGUAUCAUAAAGGUGUUUUUCCCGGUAACCAGGAUGUCUGAUUGUUACAUGCAGCUCUGUAUCAUAAAGGUGUUUCUCCCGGUAAACAGGAUGUCUGAUUGAAUCAUGCAGCUCUGUAUCAUAAAGGUGUUUCUCCCGGUAACCAGGAUGUCUGAUUGUUUCAUGCAGCUCUGUAUCAUAAAGGUGUUUCUCCCGGUAAUCAGGAUGUCUGAGGCAGCAUGCUUUUUCAAAUAUAUAGACUUAAACUUCUGAUGUUUUUUUUUGUAAUUGUGAAAUAUUUGACUGUGUGAGUGAGCAUUAUAAGAAAAAUGUUUCUAACGGAGAAUAUUCCUACUGCAUUUUGAAUAUUGCAAUGUUUUUCAUCCAUUUCGAUUCAUUAGUAGUUUUUGUUUAACCUGCAAGAAACAUAUUUUUCAAGUUCAUGAUCUAUGAUAUAAAUGUUUGAUUGAUGUACAUAUUAUUAGAGACAGUUUCUACUUUAUUUACGUCACGUGAAGCCAUUAUAUGACCGUUGAUAAGAUUAAAUCCGAAUGAAGAAGUUUUUUCCCCAUGCCUAUUACAUUCUUAUUUGUAACAAGAGUAGUUAAAGUGCGUCUGUUUAAUUUCGAAGUGAUAAUGAAAAUGAUGCCAAUUUUUUGAACUUUCCUCAAUCGCAACCAUUGGAUUUAGAACCCACGCCCCUUCCGUUUUGUUUCCUCCCACACUGAAUGUCCAAAACUUAUGUAAUUGAAUUGACGCAGUGACAUAUAUAUUGUUUGUCUUGAAAAUAAAAAAGGACCUACAAAGUUUAGCUAUUAUUCUUAAAAAUAAAGUAGGUGAUGAAUAUCAUUUCUUGUUUGAUUAUACAUUUUUUCCAAAUAAAACGGAAAGAAAAAAAGUAUGUUUACCUUUUAAUCGCAUUACGAACUAUUAU
Molecule: long non-coding RNA, 1106 nt
Filed under: Mytilus galloprovincialis (Mediterranean mussel)
Lineage: Eukaryota; Metazoa; Mollusca; Bivalvia; Mytilida; Mytilidae
Source: RNAcentral